Long non-coding RNA from Cygnus olor (mute swan), 1905 nucleotides. RefSeq lists it as uncharacterized. The transcript is spliced from 6 exons. NCBI's taxonomy places the organism in Eukaryota, Metazoa, Chordata, Aves, Anseriformes, Anatidae. The record is from RefSeq and is a predicted model, not a curated record.
GGGUCUAAAGAUGAGCUAUUUUAAUUGAAAUACUGUAGGGUCAUUCUACAGUGGUACUGGUAGCCUGGUGGUGUUUUUUGUUUUUAGUGGAAAAGGGAAAUGAAAUGGGAGGACAUUUCCAACGGGAAACCAAGGGCGGUGUUAGGGUGCCAACCAGAAGUGGCAUUGUUUUGUCACCAUUAGUAUUUGUGAUGUAAGACUACCGCUCAGUUCUGGCCUGCCGGCAGUCACGUUGCAGUCAGCCCCUCGCACGUUUGUCAGCAUCCGCGCACAUUGGUGGGAAACUGGUGGCAAGGGGACAAUUUCAUUGCUGCCAUGUGCAAGAACUAAUGAUCACCCAGGGCAUCUGAUUGGUGAGAACGUUGCUUGGGAAACAUAGUCAUAGGGACCUCCUGACGGAAGAUGCCAGACAUGAAAAGAGAAGAAUCAAAAUAAGAAAAAUUGGAGAACAGUGACCUUCCACUUUGGGGAAAGAAUUAAGAGCAUCACUGCACAGUGCUUGAAAAAUCAAGCUGUCAGAAGAAUGGCAGAAGAACAGAACACAUAGAAGAUAGAAGCAAUUAAAAUUAGACAACUGAAUGACCACACGAACUGAAAACACUGAAGAAAAUGGAAUGACUAGACCAGCAAGUUUUUCAUUGGCCACAGCACAGAAACCACUAUCCAUGUUCAAUUGUCAGAAUCAUCACUUUGCUCUCAGGAAUUCCUGCUCUCAAGGGACUGAGACACUGCAAUCGCUAUUUACUGUAACGAGAGGAAGAUGCGUAGCGUGGGAAGAUUUGCCAUACGAUGGGAACUGUGAAUCAAGGUUAAUUACCUAUGAGUGAUGAAAAUACUGUUGGAAAAAUACAUGCUGAUGAGCAGAAGGCACUGUUCUGUAUGCUUCUGCGCCUGACAGGAAAGCUGCAUGGAAAUCACACUACUCAGCUUCAAUCUGCUCCCACUGAUCCUACAAAGUGGAGCUGUGCUGGAACGGGACCCCAGGUGACUGUGUCACACCUGGCACUUAAGACAUUAUUAUGUUUAUAGCGAGCAGGUUUCUAAUGGCGUGGAAGCCUCCCAGUAUUUUGAAAGCCACAGCUGCACAGUGUGGUACAGUAAUUUGUUGUAAUCUAUUUAGCAAAGCACGAUUCGUAGGCUAUAUCACAACACAGACACAGCACAGACAAGGAACACACAGACAGAGCGUGGAUCUCAGGGCAGAGCCAGCUGAGGUAGCUUGGGGGAGGAGAAUUCCAGGACUUUCCCUCUGCGUAUACUUCUGCAUAUGGUCUAGAUCAGCAGCUCCUGAAGCAGCUAGCAAAACAGAUCAGCAGCAAUGGAAGGAGAAACCCUGAUUACAGAUCCCGUGUCAGAAAGCAAAGAGAAAUCUCCAAGCCUACCAUGUAAGACAUGGCUUUCAAGUAUUAUUUUUAAGUCCGGGGUGAUAGGCACAGUAAUACCUCACUUACAUGGAAUCCUGAAAUAAAGAUGCUCCUAACAUAAAACUGUCUGCCACCUUAAUGGAAGAAUUAAAGAAACUGUUUUGUAUAACUGUAGAAAAAAAAAACACCCUGUCUGUAACCCCCACCACACACACUUCAUCAAGGAAUUCAAAACAGCUGAAAAACUUCCUCAUUGAGAGUACUGGCAUUAUAAAAGAGAUUCUAAGCAUGUCUCAGAACCUGGAGAAAAUUACUUAGGACAUACAUACAUGUAUGCACUUAAAUAUUAAGAAAUCUUGUAUCAUCAAAUUCUAUACGUUCUGUAUGUCUGCACAGGUGUGUUUUUCAGUUAGGUGGAUUUGUGCAUUCUAAACACCUAAAAGACCUGCCACGCAUUGAGGUUCUCUGCAUUGGGAAGUCAUUCAAUGAUAAAACCAUAACAGAAACUGAAUUGCAGCAUUUUACGUUGAAUUACAUUAGC